GGCUGGCUACAGACUACAACCAUCUGGUCCAGAUCUACCUAAUGUAUGGCUGGCUACAGACUACAACCAUCUGGUCCAGAUCAACCUACUGUAGGGCUGGCUACAGACUACAACCAUCUGCAGGGUUUGUUUCUUGUGUGAAAUCAAAAGCC
This is a long non-coding RNA of Etheostoma spectabile (orangethroat darter), 152 nucleotides long. RefSeq lists it as uncharacterized. Lineage: Eukaryota; Metazoa; Chordata; Actinopteri; Perciformes; Percidae. The transcript has 3 exons. The record is from RefSeq and is a predicted model, not a curated record.